UGGGGCUAUGUAGAAUAUGUAAAUAAACUUUGUGAUAAGUUAUUGGUUGAUUAUUGACAACCUUGAGAAUUAGACUGAUGGUUAGGUAAUUUAGCUAGUAAUAGUAGGUUGUUAGUAGAAAAAAUAGUUAAGAAUUCAAAGGAUCAUAACCUUUGGAAUUUUUUGGCCAACAUAUCAUCUUUUUGGUAGGAUAAAUAGAUGGAAGAAAGAGAGAUUGAGAGCUAGAGUGAGAGUCGUAAGCUGAGAGCCAGACUGAGAGUCAUAAGCAGAGGUA
RNAcentral lists this long non-coding RNA (274 nucleotides) under Physcomitrium patens. Its description in RNAcentral is "long non-coding RNA (PPAT_LNC007326)". Lineage: Eukaryota; Viridiplantae; Streptophyta; Bryopsida; Funariales; Funariaceae. The record is from RNAcentral.